Long non-coding RNA from Centrocercus urophasianus (Greater sage-grouse), 4194 nucleotides. RefSeq lists it as uncharacterized. Lineage: Eukaryota; Metazoa; Chordata; Aves; Galliformes; Phasianidae. The transcript is spliced from 5 exons. The record is from RefSeq and is a predicted model, not a curated record.
UCCACCCCUUCCCAGACCUCAUUAAGGGUUGGCAAUGGAGGUGAGGGUCUCUCUGGAGAUCCUGCCUAUUGGAGACCUUCUAAAGAACUGAACUACAAACAUGCUUUCGCAAACCUCGGAAAAGGUAUCCACCUGUCUGCAGAUUUGGCCUGCGUUACUCCUGCAUCUGAGCCUCCUGCAAGCCUGCUUUGAGAAUGCCUACUGGUUUUGCUGGCACAAGAGGAGGAAUAGUCCAUUCCCAGACAACAGCCAUCGCUUGCUGCUGCAACACAGAGGAGAGGUGUGCUGCCUUGCUGACCUUAGCCCCAGGAUGAAACCUGUCUGCACCCUGCAACAGCAAAGAACAGCAGAAUAGAAAAUGUUUCCCUCAACUUUAAAAUGAAGGAACUGCUUUCAAAACAACCUUAAAAUGCAGAAGCAAAGUCCUACACUUCCUCUCCUCCCUGAGCUUCUCCUUGCACCAGCAACACCAAAGCAGAAUCCUGCACGUGGCACAAGGAAGGCAAGGAGCCCUGCUCCAGCUGUUGGGGAUAUGCAGAUGUGCACUGCAACCUUGGUUUGUACACUUAGCUGGGACAACAGGAUGCAACAACGGGUUACAGAAAGGUGAGCAAGGAAAAUUAUUCCACUUGACGACGUGUGAACUCUAGCCUUAAACUUCUGAGCAUUUCAUCUACAAUGCAUAGCAUGAGCCCAAGCUUUCAAAGACAGAAAUAAUUUUUGCUCAGUGAUGACUUUCUGUAGCACAAAAACUCACUAGCACCCCUCAUUCUACAUGAGAGUUGUACGUUAGCAUUUAACUGCACAUUUUAUGCUCAAACUAACCCAAGACUUCAGGAACGACUUUCUAUUAGCAUGACCAGAAGGCAGCUUUACUGCAUAUACAUGCAAAAGCCAGCACAAGACUGUGAAGAACCGGGAUGCACCAAGCUUUUCAAGCUGUGUGGAGGGUGAUCCACAGCUUGUCAUUUCUGACUACUUGGUUCCCUCUAGCGGGGAUUCAGGAUAAACCUGCGCCCCACACAAAUACAGCAGUGACUCAGAACUUACCGAGAGUUUUUCCACGUCUCCUUUCAGAACUCGUUCCAGGUAGAGCUGUUUAAGUUCUCGCUCCAGUCGUGAAGGCAGCCCAGGGUACAUAGUGGACCCUCCAGACAACACAAUGUGCUUAUAGAAUUCAGACCUAACCAAGAGAACAAUCUUUUUAGAGUGCUACAGAGUUUCUGAUAGGACAAGUAGGUACCUGUACAUACAGAGAAGUAAAUACAGAUCUACAAAACUGACAUCACACAAACACAAAAACAACCUUUGCCCAAGUUUGGCACACUUGCUCACACUUCUCCAGAUGUCCCAGAAAGCAGCAAUCAAAAAAGAAGGAACACGAAAGAAACCCCACAAUUCCAAGAUUUAAUCCUUGCUUAUUCAUACAAAAUAGUAAUGUUUUCAGAUAAUGCACUAAGCUUCAAAAAGUCAUCUAAGACCGACCCCCAGUUCCAACAUAUAUCUUCACACAGCUGGUGGUGACUAAAGCAAAAAGAUGUUAUUUUCUUGGAAAGCAAUCCCUGUGUCACAAUUCACUGUCAGAGUGCAGGAGUAAGUGUGCUCUUACCUGGUAUCAAUGUCAGCAGCCUGGAUGGUGUUGAACAGCAGCUCAGCCACACCAACCCCCUCCACAUUGAUUAAGUGAGGCUGGAAAAGUGCCUCUGGUGCCUCAAACCGUUCUCCACCGACUUUGAUAAUCCUGCCAUCUGGGAGCUAGUGAAGAGAAAGCCAUUCAGCAGGCUGCUUUUAGCCACUCAGAUACAGAAAACAGGAGGAAAUGACUUACGUUGUUACUAGGUGUUUUAAAGCAGGAAAUUGUUGCUUAUUGUCACCACUGCAAGAAGUCAGUGCUACUGAAAGAAGAUUCUUCAAUUGCUAUGUGAUUUACUUACAGAGAUCAAGGACCAGAUACACUGAUACUGAAGUACCAAAUGCUGCCUUGCAAUACAGCUCUUAAUUUUGAUUUUAAAGAUGAACUUGAGGCAAGAAAAAUGCUAUUCUGAAACUCCUUUCUUUUCAUGUGCUAUUACAGCAAGUCUCCUAAGAGUAAGUUUACCCCCCUUCUUACCAGUUUCCAGUCCCAGAUGUAUCACAGCUAGAGGGACGAAGCUGAAACAAUCUGACCUGCUAGCGUAAGUCCACUUUCUCUACAAGUUUUUGUGCUGUAAUAUUCAAAUUUCAAGCAUCUACAGUUACAAAAGUCAAUACAAAGCUUUAAAGAUAUCCCCAAAAUCAGCUUUUCUAGUUUUCCCAGAACCAAGUAAUGUGAUUCUACAGACUUCUGUGUCUGGGAAGUGAGCUACUGCCAAGACAAACUUACAAGGAAUCAAAGCUAAAUGCUACCUGAUUUUAGACCUAAUACAUUUAGGUCAAGAAAAUGUGCCUCAAAACACUCACCGUGUACGACUCAACUAGUACUGUGGUCUCUAAUGCCAAUUUCUGCUCCUGUUCAAUGUUGUAUCCCACAUAGCACAGCUUCUCCUUGAUCAUGCGAACAGUCUCGAAAUCAGCAGAGUGGUUGAAAGCAUAGCCUCGCAGUAAGAGGAGCUGCAGUGAACAGAUUAGAUUAGCUAUAAAGGUGAGAAACAGCACAGAUCUCCUUGCCUCCAGUGUGCACAGUCAACAACUUGUCAAGUUUCCCUGGCUUUUCUAGCUGCAAAUUCAGUAUUAAGUCAAAUCUGUAACUGUAUCCAUUAUUAUCAGAACAAGGAAAAAAAACCAACCAGAUACAAUAUCACUGUAAGUAGGAAAUCUUCCCAAGAACUUCCAGUGCAAUUGUUACAGAAGUGAAAGAUACUAAAAUAAUCCUCCCAUUUAGGACUUCGCUUCAGAACAGCACAAUAUUGCAGUUAAGCAAUAUUCUGGAUUAAAAAAUCCUAAGGUUUACAUACUUUUUAAAAGUAAAUAAUAAAACAUUCUUAUUUAAUAAUCAGAUAAGAAUCAUUACAUUAUUUUCUACACUAAAAAAGAUGUUAGAAUAUAUAGUCGUUUUUAUUUUACAUCUCAAGAAAGCCAAAUGUGAGAUUUUCCUUCCCAAACACAGAAGGGAGGCCCUUCCCUUCUUAGACUAUUACUAGGAAAGUGAGUGAAGUCUGAAUAACAUCAGUGCUAUAGAUGAGGAAACGUAACACAGAGAGGCUGAAGCAAUACAAAGAAUACUGGUUCUCUUUCUGUAAAGAACACACAAACAAUAAAGUUUCUUCCUACCAAGGGAUUUUAACUUGAACCCGUGUGCCACUGCCAUCAGCCUCAGCCUUAAAGACUCUUUCCAGCUCACCUUAAUGAGGUACCUGGUGAUAUCCCUCCCAGCAAUAUCUAACCGCCUGGUGAGAUGAGGGAGAGAGAAACCUUCAUAAACUGGGCAGAUAUGAGUGACACCAUCUCCAGAGUCCACAACAACACCAGUCAGCAGACCUAGAAGAAUGAAACAGGGGAGGAAGUACAACUGUUAGUAGCACCUCCAUAAAUAGAGCAGAACAGUUUUAUCAUUGUAAUCAUAACCUUGUUGGUAUCCUAAAAGAACACUGUAAUGGUCAUCACCCUUUUGAGAAAAGGAAGCAAAACCUAAAAUUCAGUUAUUUCCACUCACCUAGAUUUUAAACAUAAGAUUUUCACAGUGAAAAUGCCUGUAUAUACACAUGUUAAAAACGGAUUAUCCUUCCUCUUGCCUAGGUGCUUCAACUCUACCAUUUGCCAUUUUUUCCACUGUUUUCACAUCUUAAAUUGCAUCUUAAAUUAAAGAGAAUAGCUAAGGUCAUUAAAUGUUUGUUGGAUUAUAAAUUCCUGAGUAGAUCCAGUUAUGUAUGUGCAACAUGAUAUUAAUUGCUCCAAUAUAAAGAAAUGUGGAGGUAUUCAUGCCACAAGUUUCUCUUGUUAGAAUACUGUUAGGAUUUGUUCAUGAUGCUUUCUUCUCAAGUACCAAUUAAUGCUUUCAUAGGGCAGAAAAUAUCUGUUCUUCAACAGCAGACUGCUCCAAGUUGUUUUAUGUUUUGUUGUUCAGAGUAACUGAGCACUAUGCAGUAAAAUAAAUUCUGCUGUAAUUGUAAAUGGAAGACUGUGCAUUUUUCAGACAGAUAGACUUGUAAUGAACCAAACAAAAAACAAUGAUAAAGGAAAAAAAAAAAGAAAGAGUGAUCAGCAAAUAAAACUAAA